This 434-nucleotide ribosomal RNA is filed under the name Apilactobacillus kunkeei. RNAcentral describes it as "bacterial SSU rRNA". It matches the Rfam family "Bacterial small subunit ribosomal RNA", at positions 89 to 509 of the family's 1533-position model. The record is from RNAcentral. Lineage: Bacteria; Bacillati; Bacillota; Bacilli; Lactobacillales; Lactobacillaceae.
GAGCGAGUGGCGAACUGGUGAGUAACACGUGGGUAACCUGCCCCGAAGCGGGGGAUAACAUUUGGAAACAAGUGCUAAUACCGCAUAAUUAGUUGGAACCGCAUGGUUCCAACUUGAAAGAUGGCUCUGCUAUCACUUUGGGAUGGACCCGCGCCGUAUUAGUUAGUUGGUGAGAUAAAAGCCCACCAAGACGAUGAUACGUAGCCGACCUGAGAGGGUAAUCGGCCACAUUGGGACUGAGACACGGCCCAGACUCCUACGGGAGGCAGCAGUAGGGAAUCUUCCACAAUGGACGAAAGUCUGAUGGAGCAACGCCGCGUGAGUGAUGAAGGUUUUCGGAUCGUAAAACUCUGUUGUUAAAGAAGAACAAGUGUUAGAGUAACUGUUAACACUUUGACGGUAUUUAACCAGAAAGCCACGGCUAACUACGUGCC